Molecule: unclassified non-coding RNA, 251 nt
Filed under: uncultured Ascomycota
Lineage: Eukaryota; Fungi; Ascomycota
Description: sequence contains 5.8S rRNA gene
Rfam family: 5.8S ribosomal RNA (bases 1-53)
Source: RNAcentral
GAACGCACAUUGCGCCCAUUAGUAUUCUAGUGGGCAUGCCUGUUCGAGCGUCAUUUCAACCCUUAAGCUUAGCUUAGUAUUGGGAAUCUGCUUAACCGCAGCUCCUUAAAUCUAGUUGGCAGAGCACAGCUGUACUCUGAGCGUAGUAAUUCAUUAUCUCGCUUCUGGAAGACAGCCGUACGAUCGCCACAAACCUAUUUAUUUUUUAAUGGUUGACCUCGGAUCAGGUAGGAAUACCCGCUGAACUUAAG